AAGAUUUUAGGUUAAAAUAAACCAAAGGCCUUCAAAGCCUUUAACAAGCCAGCAAAGCUUAAGUCUUG
This 68-nucleotide transfer RNA is filed under the name Cellana radiata. RNAcentral's name for it is "tRNA-Trp". It matches the Rfam family "tRNA". Rfam says of the family: Transfer RNA (tRNA) molecules are approximately 80 nucleotides in length. Their secondary structure includes four short double-helical elements and three loops (D, anti-codon, and T loops). Lineage: Eukaryota; Metazoa; Mollusca; Gastropoda; Nacellidae. The record is from RNAcentral.